AUUUCGGUUAUAGAGGAAGAGGUGGAAGACAUGGUAGAAGAGGUCAGUUAUCAUUCCUUCCAAGAGAAAGGUCAAGAGGCAAUUUUAAUCAUCAUUCCAAUCAACAAAGCUUUGACAAGAAAAAUGUACAAUGCUUCAAUUGUCACAAGUAUGGGCACUAUAGCAAUGAAUGUUGGGCAAAACAAGACAAUGAAGUUGGAGAGCAAGCUAAUAUCGUUGAGAAAGAGAGUAUUGAUGGG
RNAcentral lists this long non-coding RNA (239 nucleotides) under Phoenix dactylifera (date palm). Its description in RNAcentral is "long non-coding RNA (PDAC_LNC013619)". Lineage: Eukaryota; Viridiplantae; Streptophyta; Magnoliopsida; Arecales; Arecaceae. The record is from RNAcentral.